Molecule: long non-coding RNA, 516 nt
Organism: Eurytemora carolleeae
Lineage: Eukaryota; Metazoa; Arthropoda; Copepoda; Calanoida; Temoridae
Exons: 3
Source: RefSeq, a predicted model, not a curated record
UAUAUUUUACAUUUAAAAAAAGUAACUAUUGGAUAAAAAAACUUUGUACACGAAAACUCUUUGUGUAAACAAGGGCUUUGCACAGUGCUGAUUGUUAACUGCUAGAUUACAAUGUGGGAAUAUAUUCUCCUCUUCCUCAUUCCUCAGUGUUUUGGGAGAGAUGAAAGAUUCAGAUCUUACAUCUUUGUACCAAGAGAAGUAAGUCUGGAGUUCUGGAUUUCUAACAGUGUUACUAGUGCACACAGGUUCAGAACAGAGAUUCAGAAUGGUGAACUAAUGAUGGAGCCCACUAUCUAAAUAAUGGAGCCUGAAAUCCUAAUGAUAAAGAUCGAAUGGAGUCGACGUAUACCGUCCUUAUUGUGGAAUUGAGCCUAAUUUCCCGACAAAAUAGCUACUAACCUAAUACUGGAGCCUACUCACCUAAUCAUGGAGCCUACGAACAUAAAAAUGGAGCUACUAACCUAAUAAUAUAGCCUGCUAACCUAAUAAUCAGCCUACUAACCUAAUAAUGGAGCC